GAUGAACGCUGGCGGCGUGCCUAAUACAUGCAAGUCGAGCGAACGGACGAGAAGCUUGCUUUUUUGAUGUUAGCGGCGGACGGGUGAGUAACACGUGGAUAACCUACCUAUAAGACUGGGAUAACUUCGGGAAACCGGAGCUAAUACCGGAUAAUAUUUUGAACCGCAUGGUUCAAUAGUGAAAGACGGUCUUGCUGUCACUUAUAGAUGGAUCCGCGCUGCAUUAGCUAGUUGGUAAGGUAACGGCUUACCAAGGCAACGAUGCAUAGCCGACCUGAGAGGGUGAUCGGCCACACUGGAACUGAGACACGGUCCAGACUCCUACGGGAGGCAGCAGUAGGGAAUCUUCCGCAAUGGGCGAAAGCCUGACGGAGCAACGCCGCGUGAGUGAUGAAGGUCUUCUGAUCGUAAAACUCUGUUAUUAGGGAAGAACAUAUGUGUAAGUAACUGUGCACAUCUUGACGGUACCUAAUCAGAAAGCCACGGCUAACUACGUG
This 497-nucleotide ribosomal RNA is filed under the name uncultured bacterium. Its description in RNAcentral is "partial 16S ribosomal RNA". It matches the Rfam family "Bacterial small subunit ribosomal RNA", at positions 28 to 507 of the family's 1533-position model. The record is from RNAcentral.